This is a long non-coding RNA of Perognathus longimembris pacificus (Pacific pocket mouse), 285 nucleotides long. RefSeq lists it as uncharacterized. NCBI's taxonomy places the organism in Eukaryota, Metazoa, Chordata, Mammalia, Rodentia, Heteromyidae. The transcript has 3 exons. The record is from RefSeq and is a predicted model, not a curated record.
GAUGUCCACAGAUGACACGAGGGAAUGGAGACAAAAGGAUGGAUGCUGACUGCUUCCACUCGGAGCACUGUCCCUGGGACUGUCAGCAAACAGAUGAAAAGGCCACCCCAGAGUCCCCAAGGCAUGUCAGCUGCAGGAUUUAAAAAUAAUCCAUUUGUUACAGAGUCAAUAAAUAUUUCCUACAUAAUAGUUCUACAUGAUCAUUAUUAAAUGUGGGCCUGUGUAAACUCAACACUGUAUUCCAAAAUUGUAGCUGGGUUAGCAAUAAUGGAGGAAAUAAGAAUU